Molecule: ribosomal RNA, 460 nt
Filed under: uncultured bacterium
Lineage: Bacteria
Description: partial 16S ribosomal RNA
Rfam family: Bacterial small subunit ribosomal RNA
Source: RNAcentral
CCUACGGGGGGCAGCAGUGAGGAAUAUUGGUCAAUGGACGAGAGUCUGAACCAGCCAAGUAGCGUGAAGGAUGACUGCCCUAUGGGUUGUAAACUUCUUUUAUAAAGGAAUAAAACGAGGCACGUGUGCCCUUUUGCAUGUACUUUAUGAAUAAGGAUCGGCUAACUCCGUGCCAGCAGCCGCGGUAAUACGGAGGAUCCGAGCGUUAUCCGGAUUUAUUGGGUUUAAAGGGUGCGUAGAUGGGUUGUUAAGUCAGUUGUGAAAGUUUGCGGCUCAACCGUAAAAUUGCAAUUGAUACUGGCAGUCUUGAGUACAGUUGAGGUAAGCGGAAUUCGUGGUGUAGCGGUGAAAUGCUUAGAUAUCACGAAGAACCCCGAUUGCGAAGGCAGCUUACUAAACUGUGACUGACAUUGAUGCUCGAAAGUGUGGGUAUCAAACAGGAUUAGAUACCCCAGUAGUC